AUCAACUUUCGAUGGUAGGAUAGAGGCCUACCAUGGUGGUAACGGGUAACGGGGUGUUAGGGCACGACACCGGAGAGGGAGCCUGAGAAACGGCUACCACAUCCAAGGAUGGCAGCAGGCGCGCAAAUUACCCAAUCCCGACACGGGGAGGUAGUGACAAUAAAUAACAAUACGGGGCUCUUUCGGAUCUCGUAAUUGGAAUGAGUACAAUUUAAAUCUCUUAACGAGGAACAAUUGGAGGGCAAGUCUGGUGCCAGCAGCCGCGGUAAUUCCAGCUCCAAUAGCGUAUAUUAAAGUUGUUGCAGUUAAAAAGCUCGUAGUUGAAUUUCGGAAUUUGUCAGUUGGUCGGGCUUCACUGUUCGUACUGGCUUGAUGGAUUCUUACCUUCUGAAUAACCAGCAUGCUAUUAAGUUAGUGCGUUGGGGAAGCAGAUCUAUUACCUUGAAAAAAUUAGAGUGCUUAAAGCGGGCUUGUGCUUGAAUAGAUUAGCAUGGAAUAAUAAAAUAGGACGGCAUGGUUCUAUUUUGUUGGUUUCUAGGAUCACCGUAAUGAUUAAUAGGGAUAGUUGGGGGCAUUAGUAUUCAAUUGUCAGAGGUGAAAUUCUUGGAUUUAUUGAAGACUAACUUCUGCGAAAGCAUUUGCCAAGGAUGUUUUCAUUAAUCAAGAACGAAAGUUAGGGGAUCGAAGACGAUCAGAUACCGUCGUAGUCUUAACCAUAAACUAUGCCGACUAGGAAUCGGACGAUGUUAAUUUUAUAAUGACUCGUUCGGCACCUUACGGGAAACCAAAGUGUUUGGGUUC
This 801-nucleotide ribosomal RNA is filed under the name uncultured Acaulospora. RNAcentral describes it as "SSU rRNA". It matches the Rfam family "Eukaryotic small subunit ribosomal RNA", at positions 314 to 1114 of the family's 1831-position model. The record is from RNAcentral. Lineage: Eukaryota; Fungi; Glomeromycota; Glomeromycetes; Diversisporales; Acaulosporaceae.